This 208-nucleotide ribosomal RNA is filed under the name uncultured prokaryote. RNAcentral's name for it is "partial 16S ribosomal RNA". It matches the Rfam family "Bacterial small subunit ribosomal RNA", at positions 524 to 731 of the family's 1533-position model. The record is from RNAcentral.
UACAGAGGGUGCGAGCGUUAAUCGGAGUUACUGGGCGUAAAGGGCGCGUAGGCGGUGAUAUGAGUGUGAUGUGGAAGCCCCGGGCUUAACCUGGGAAGUGCAUCGCAAACGAUAUGACUGGAGUACAAGAGAGGGUGGCGGAAUUUCCGGUGUAGCGGUGAAAUGCGUAGAGAUCGGAAGGAACGUCAAUGGCGAAGGCAGCCACCUG